UGUCCUUUUGCUGUAAUGAAUAACUGUGAGUCCUUCUACUGAAUCGUCAAACCUGAGGACUGUCUUGACAACAGGGCUUUUUGCAGCAAAUGUGUAUUUGUGCUAGAUGGACUGUUGCUCCCAGCUUUUUACCACCUCCCGCCACGCCCUUUUGCCGUGUGACUUUGGGCACCUGCCCUGGAGUAGACCAAGUCUGUCCCCACCUGCUCGAGGCUGCAUGGCCAGUGGAUAUCAGCAGAGAUCAUGCAAGAGAAGGCCUAAUGCGAGACACCAGCACCCCAGAGCAGCAAAGCCCUGGGUAGCUACUAAUCCCAGAAUGGGUGGGUAGAGUAAACGUGAGCCCCACCCACAGAUGAAGCUGCUGAGGCCUGCGUGGUCCACUGGCCCUGCUGUUUUCAGACCCAUCUGCACCCCUUUCUCCGGCUCACUGUAGACCAGUCAUUCUGAAAGAGCCCAUGAAAAACACCAAGUUCUCUCCUGCCUCAGGACUUUGUACCUGCUGCUUCAGUGCCUGGAAUACUGACUCCUUCCCAUGAAAAACACCAAGUUCUCUCCUGCCUCAGGACUUUGUACCUGCUGCUUCAGUGCCUGGAAUACUGACUCCUUCCCAUGAAAAACACCAAGUUCUCUCCUGCCUCAGGACUUUGUGCCUGCUGCUUCAGUGCCUGGAAUACUCAUUCCUUCCAUUGUUUGCACAAGCACCGCCAGGGGGUGGGGCUCACAGAGGCGCACUGCGGCAGGAACUGGAUGUGGGUGUCAAGGUGGUCACAGAACAGACGGCUGGGUCAGCUCCCCAAGGAGAAGCCCUGAGCUGCCCAACAGGUCCCUCUUAGGCCCCACACUUCAGAGGCAGGGCUGCCACGCAUGCCUCCUGGAUCACCUCUUGGUGUCCCAUGGCCCCUGUGGGGCUCCUACCUGGCACAUCCUCACCUCCAGGCUCCCCCGGCUCCAACUCAGCAGGGAGGUGGGAGGUUGACGGGAGCAGGCAGGCAUGGGAGGGCUCAGCCGGGGUAUGAGGGGUGGGCAGAGUCCCCCCACCUGGCUCACCCUUUCUCUUCCUCUCCUCCUCUGGGCACCUUCUUUGACUCCCACAGGCUCCUAGCUCAGACCUCUCCACUCUUCCUGGCUUUCCUUCAGGGAGGUCAGGAAAGUCAGGGACCCGUGGAUAAAGACCAGGAGAACACAAUGAGCAGAAAAGCGUAGGCGAGCAGCUGGCAGCCACCAUCGCAUUUGCUCCCGGAAGGCAAGAGGAGGCAGAGAAAAUUCCAGAACCCAUUUAAGCGUCUGGGACCCUGAGUAGAGACGGGAUUUCACCAUGUUGGCCAGGAUGGUCUCG
Molecule: long non-coding RNA, 1336 nt
Filed under: Homo sapiens (human)
Lineage: Eukaryota; Metazoa; Chordata; Mammalia; Primates; Hominidae
Description: HSALNT0317843
Source: RNAcentral